This 503-nucleotide ribosomal RNA is filed under the name uncultured bacterium. Its description in RNAcentral is "bacterial SSU rRNA". It matches the Rfam family "Bacterial small subunit ribosomal RNA", at positions 29 to 524 of the family's 1533-position model. The record is from RNAcentral.
AAUGAACGCUGGCGGCGUGCCUAACACAUGCAAGUCGAAUGUGCCGCAAGGUGCAUGGCAGACGGGUGAGUAACGCGUGGGCAAUCUACCUUUUCGUGGGAAUAACGAUCCGAAAGGAUUGGUAAUACCGCAUGAGACCAAUGGCUGGGAUGCUGUUGGUGAAACCUGGGGACCGCAAGGCCUGGGGGCGAAAAGAGGAGCCUGCGUCUGAUUAGCUAGUUGGCGGGGUAACGGCCCACCAAGGCUUCGAUCAGUAGCCGGCCUGAGAGGGUGAUCGGCCACACUGGAACUGAGACACGGUCCAGACUCCUACGGGAGGCAGCAGUGGGGAAUUUUGCGCAAUGGACGAAAGUCUGACGCAGCAACGCCGCGUGGGUGAUGAAGGUCUUCGGAUUGUAAAACCCUGUCGUCGAGGACGAAGGUCGGAGUGUUAAUAGCGCUUUGGCUUGACGGUACUCGGAGAGGAAGCCCCGGGCUAACUCUGUGCCAGCAGCCGCGGUAAU